GUUAUACGACUGACGGAAGUGGAAUUAACCACGUGAAGUAUAAUAAUAAUGAGCCGACCGUCUGGGCAG
Molecule: non-coding RNA, 69 nt
Filed under: uncultured Robinsoniella sp.
Lineage: Bacteria; Bacillati; Bacillota; Clostridia; Lachnospirales; Lachnospiraceae
Description: ZMP/ZTP riboswitch
Rfam family: ZMP/ZTP riboswitch aptamer (pfl RNA motif)
About the family: Previously known as pfl RNA. ZMP is also known as AICAR.
Source: RNAcentral